This 491-nucleotide ribosomal RNA is filed under the name uncultured bacterium. RNAcentral's name for it is "partial 16S ribosomal RNA". It matches the Rfam family "Bacterial small subunit ribosomal RNA", at positions 29 to 506 of the family's 1533-position model. The record is from RNAcentral.
AGUGAACGCUGGCGGUAGGCCUAACACAUGCAAGUCGAACGGCAGCACAGUAAGAGCUUGCUCUUACGGGUGGCGAGUGGCGGACGAGUGAGGAAUACAUCGGAAUCUACUUUUUCGUGGGGGAUAACGUAGGGAAACUUACGCUAAUACCGCAUACGACCUACGGGUGAAAGCAGGGGAUCUUCGGACCUUGCGCGAUUGAAUGAGCCGAUGUCGGAUUAGCUAGUUGGCGGGGUAAAGGCCCACCAAGGCGACGAUCCGUAGCUGGUCUGAGAGGAUGAUCGGCCACACUGGAACUGAGACACGGUCCAGACUCCUACGGGAGGCAGCAGUGGGGAAUAUUGGACAAUGGGCGCAAGCCUGAUCCAGCCAUACCGCGUGGGUGAAGAAGGCCUUCGGGUUGUAAAGCCCUUUUGUUGGGAAAGAAAAGCAGCAGGUUAAUACCCCGCUGUUCUGACGGUACCCAAAGAAUAAGCACCGGCUAACUUCGU